AAGAGACGUUGCCCUUCGGGGUAUACCUCCCACCCUUUGUUUAUUAUACCUUUGUCGCUUUGGCGGGCCCGUCCUCGGACCACCGGCUUCUGCUGGUCAGUGCCCGCCAGAGGACCUAAAACUCUGUUUGUUAAUAUUGUCUGAGUACUAUAUAAUAGUUA
RNAcentral lists this unclassified non-coding RNA (161 nucleotides) under soil metagenome. RNAcentral describes it as "partial internal transcribed spacer 1". The record is from RNAcentral.